CCUACGGGAGGCAGCAGUGGGGAAUAUCGGACAAUGGGGGCAACCCUGAUCCAGCCAUGCCGCGUGUGUGAAGAAGGCCCUCGGGUUGUAAAGCACUUUCAGUGAGGAAGAACGCCUGGUGGUUAAUACCCAUCAGGAAAGACAUCACUCACAGAAGAAGCACCGGCUAACUCCGUGCCAGCAGCCGCGGUAAUACGGAGGGUGCGAGCGUUAAUCGGAAUUACUGGGCGUAAAGCGCGCGUAGGUGGCUUGAUAAGCCGGUUGUGAAAGCCCCGGGCUCAACCUGGGAACGGCAUCCGGAACUGUCAAGCUAGAGUGCAGGAGAGGACGGUAGAAUUCCCGGUGUAGCGGUGAAAUGCGUAGAGAUCGGGAGGAAUACCAGUGGCGAAGGCGGCCUUCUGGACUGACACUGACACUGAGGUGCGAAAGCGUGGGUAGCAAACAGGAUUAGAUACCCUGGUAGUC
RNAcentral lists this ribosomal RNA (465 nucleotides) under Vreelandella stevensii. RNAcentral's name for it is "partial 16S ribosomal RNA". It matches the Rfam family "Bacterial small subunit ribosomal RNA", at positions 338 to 795 of the family's 1533-position model. Lineage: Bacteria; Pseudomonadati; Pseudomonadota; Gammaproteobacteria; Oceanospirillales; Halomonadaceae. The record is from RNAcentral.